RNAcentral lists this long non-coding RNA (474 nucleotides) under Populus tremula. Its description in RNAcentral is "long non-coding RNA (PTRE_LNC001620)". Lineage: Eukaryota; Viridiplantae; Streptophyta; Magnoliopsida; Malpighiales; Salicaceae. The record is from RNAcentral.
UCUAAGGCUUGACCAUAUGAUCCUUGGUGUAAUAAUGUGAUCAGAAACAAGAGAGUGGUUAAUUUGUGAAUGUGCUGUUUCUACUUUUGAUUUUGCACUCUUACUGUACUUGAUAGGCAUUAGAGUCUGAGGCAACCAUCCCAUCUAAGGGUUGACCAUAUGAUCCUUGGUGUAAUAAUGUGAUCAGAAACAAGAGAAUGGUUAAUUUGUGAAUGUGCUGUUUCUACUUUUGAAUUUGCACUUUCACUGUACUUGAUCAGCAUGAUAAUGAAAACAUGGGAGAGUAACUUUAAUCUGAAUUCGCAUGUCAGUCGUCAUUUGCCUGGAAAAUAUUUGAGUACAUGAUACAAAUAAGGUCAUCAGAAUGAUGAUUGCUUUUGUUGCUUAACUCUUCAAUUUUGCAGUCUUUUGUUGUAAAAUAUUGUAUAUUUUCCCUUAAAAAUAAUUUAUGACAAAUUGGUUAUUUCAGCGAAG